AAUAUUGGUCAAUGGAGGCAACUCUGAUCCAGCCAUCCCGCGGGUAUGAUGAAGGCCUUCGGGUUGUAAAGUACUUUUGGCAGAGAAGAAAAGGUACCUCCUAAUACGAGGUACUGCUGACGGCAUCUGCAGAAUAAGCACCGGCUAACUACGUUCCAGCAGCCGCGAUAAUACGUAGGGUGCAAGCGUUAAUCGGAAUUACUGGCCGUAAAGCGUGUGUAGGCGGUUCGGAAAGAAAGAUGUGAAAUCCCAGGGCUCAACCUUGGAACUGCAUUUUUAACUGCCGAGCUAGAGUAUGUCAGAGGGGGGUAGAAUUCAACGUGUAGCAGUGAAAUGCGUAGAGAUGUGGAGGAAUACCGAUGGCGAAGGCAGCCCCCUGGGAUAAUACUGACGCUCAGACACGAAGGCGUGGGGAGCAAACA
Molecule: ribosomal RNA, 422 nt
Filed under: uncultured bacterium
Lineage: Bacteria
Description: partial 16S ribosomal RNA
Rfam family: Bacterial small subunit ribosomal RNA
Source: RNAcentral